CAUUGCGUUGUCUGUUCUUUCGCCUAAAAAGCGAGAGAAGUAAGGGCCGGGUAAGACGGGUGCCAGCCGCCGCGGUAAUACCCGCGGCCCGAGUGGUGCUCAUUAUUAUUGAGCUUAAAGCGUUCGUAGCCGGCCUCGUAAAUCCUUGGGUAAAAAAAGACAGCUCAACUGUUCGAAUUCCGAGGAGACUGCGAGGCUCGGGACCGGGAGAGGUCAGAGGUACUUCGGGGGUAGGGGUAAAAUCCUGUAAUCCUCGAAGGACCACCAGUGGCGAAGGCGUCUGACUAGAACGGAUCCGACGGUGAGGGACGAAGCCCUGGGGCGCAAACGGGAUUAGAUACCCCGGUAGUCCAGGGUGUAAACGCUGCGGUUUUUCAUGACCUUGGGUCCUACGGGGGCGUCCGGUGCCGGAGAGAAAUUGUUAAGCUGGGCGUCUGGUACGGUCGCAAGACUGAAACUUAAAUAGGUUACCCAAGAGCACCGCAACGGGAGGAGAAUCGGUUCAAUUGGAUUCAACAGCCGGGAAGGGCGAAU
RNAcentral lists this ribosomal RNA (534 nucleotides) under uncultured archaeon. Its description in RNAcentral is "bacterial SSU rRNA". It matches the Rfam family "Archaeal small subunit ribosomal RNA", at positions 396 to 932 of the family's 1478-position model. The record is from RNAcentral.